This 288-nucleotide long non-coding RNA is filed under the name Medicago truncatula (barrel medic). Its description in RNAcentral is "long non-coding RNA (MTRU_LNC007006)". Lineage: Eukaryota; Viridiplantae; Streptophyta; Magnoliopsida; Fabales; Fabaceae. The record is from RNAcentral.
GCGUGUAGCCGCCACUCAUCUGUUUAUCUCUUUUUUCGUUAGGUUUGUUUGAUUCAAUUCCAAAACCAAUUUCAAUGAUGAUGCACCGCGUAGCCCCUUGCAUCUUAAAGUUUAGUUGCAAGGAAAUUACGAGAAGGUUUUAUUGGUGCAAUAUUUAGUCAUGGCAAUUUCAUUUCAUUCAUUUGGGUUGUAGAUCUGAGUUUUUUUAUAACCCAUUAUGCAUUUUUUAUCUUUCAAAAAUUGCCAAAUUAUCUCUUUGAAUUAGUUAUAUAGCACAAUGGUUUUUGC